RNAcentral lists this ribosomal RNA (494 nucleotides) under Oebalus ypsilongriseus. RNAcentral's name for it is "partial 16S ribosomal RNA". It matches the Rfam family "Archaeal large subunit ribosomal RNA", at positions 1906 to 2637 of the family's 2987-position model. The record is from RNAcentral. Lineage: Eukaryota; Metazoa; Arthropoda; Insecta; Hemiptera; Pentatomidae.
AAACAUGGUCUAUUGAUUAUCUUAAUAUUAGAUCUGGCCUGCUCAAUGAAUAUUAUUUAAAUAGCCGCAGUAUAUUGACUGUGCAAAGGUAGCAUAAUCAUUUGUCUUUUAAUUGAAGGCUUGUAUGAAUGGUUUGAUGAGGGAGUAGCUUUCUUUAUAUUAAAUGUUGAAUUUAACUUUUAUGUUAAAAGGCUUAAAUUUAUAAGUGGGACGAGAAGACCCUAUAGAAUUUUAUUUAUGUAUAUUAUAAUUUAUGUAUUUGGUUAAUUUUUUAUUUAUUUUUUCAUAAAUUUUGUUGGGGUGACYAGUAAGAUUUAUUUAACUCUUAUAUAUUAUAUAUUUACUGAUUAGUAUUUUAAAGAUCYCUUAUUUAAGGAUAAUUAGAUUAAAUUACYUUAGGGAUAACAGCGUAAUUUUACCGGAGAGUUCAUAUUGAUGGUGAAGUUUGCGACCUCGAUGUUGGAUUAAAAUUAGAUUUAAGUGCAGAAGCUUAA